This is a small nucleolar RNA of Malania oleifera, 107 nucleotides long. Lineage: Eukaryota; Viridiplantae; Streptophyta; Magnoliopsida; Santalales; Ximeniaceae. The record is from RefSeq and is a predicted model, not a curated record.
ACUUGGUGAUGUGGGCAUUUGUUCAAAAGGUCCCUAAAGCGCUCCCAUGUCUCGAAAAAAUAGUUUCUCAUCCAAUUUUGAGAAACUAGUGAUUGACUUCCUCACCU